Molecule: ribosomal RNA, 862 nt
Filed under: uncultured Gammaproteobacteria bacterium
Lineage: Bacteria; Pseudomonadati; Pseudomonadota; Gammaproteobacteria
Description: bacterial SSU rRNA
Rfam family: Bacterial small subunit ribosomal RNA
Source: RNAcentral
GUCGAACGUGAAAGCACUUCGGUGUGAGUAGAGUGGCGGACGGGUGAGUAACGCGUGGGAAUCUACCCAGUAGUGGGGGACAACUACCGGAAACGGUAGCUAAUACCGCAUACGCCCUAUGGGGGAAAGGCUUCGGCCGCUAUUGGAUGAGCCCGCGUCAGAUUAGCUAGUUGGUAGGGUAAAGGCCUACCAAGGCAACGAUCUGUAGCUGGUCUGAGAGGACGAACAGCCACACUGGGACUGAGACACGGCCCAGACUCCUACGGGAGGCAGCAGUGGGGAAUAUUGGACAAUGGGCGAAAGCCUGAUCCAGCAAUGCCGCGUGUGUGAAGAAGGCCUGCGGGUUGUAAAGCACUUUCAGUUGGGAAGAUGAUGACGUUACCAACAGAAGAAGCACCGGCUAAAUCCGUGCCAGCAGCCGCGGUAAUACGGAUGGUGCGAGCGUUAAUCGGAAUUACUGGGCGUAAAGCGCGCGUAGGCGGCUAAGUCAGUCAGAAGUGAAAGCCCCGGGCUCAACCUGGGAAUUGCUUUUGAUACUGCUUGGCUAGAGUUUGGUAGAGGAUAGUGGAAUUCCAGGUGUAGCGGUGAAAUGCGUAGAUAUCUGGAGGAACAUCAGUGGCGAAGGCGACUGUCUGGACCAAAACUGACGCUGAGGUGCGAAAGCGUGGGUAGCAAACAGGAUUAGAUACCCUGGUAGUCCACGCCGUAAACGAUGUCAACUAGCCGUCGGGUCUAUUUACAGACUUGGUGGCGCAGCUAGCGCGAUAAGUUGACCGCCUGGGGAGUACGGCCGCAAGGUUAAAACUCAAAGGAAUUGACGGGGGCCCGCACAAGCGGUGGAGCAUGUGGUUUAAUUCGAUGC